This 263-nucleotide ribosomal RNA is filed under the name uncultured bacterium. Its description in RNAcentral is "partial 16S ribosomal RNA". It matches the Rfam family "Bacterial small subunit ribosomal RNA", at positions 793 to 1055 of the family's 1533-position model. The record is from RNAcentral.
GUCCACUGCUGUAAACGAUGAGUGCUAGAUGUUGGGGCUUGCCCUUCGGUGUCGCAGCUAACGCCUUAAGCACUCCGCCUGGGAAGUACGGCCGCAAGGUUAAACUCAAAGGAAUUGACGGGGCCCGCACAAGCGGUGGAGAAUGUGGUUUAAUUCGACGCAACGCGCAGAACCUUACCAGCCCUUGACAUGGGGAGUUUGGGUUGCAGAGAUGUGAUCCUUCAGUUCGGCUGGCUCCCACACAGGUGCUGCAUGGCUGUCGU